CUUGCUUUCUUUGCUGGCGACCGGCGCACGGGUGAGUAACACGUAUCCAACCUGCCCUUUACUCGGGGAUAGCCUUUCGAAAGAAAGAUUAAUACCCGAUAGCAUAAUGAUUCCGCAUGGUUUCAUUAUUAAAGGAUUCCGGUAAAGGAUGGGGAUGCGUUCCAUUAGGUUGUUGGUGAGGUAACGGCCCACCAAGCCUUCGAUGGAUAGGGGUUCUGAGGGGAAGGUCCCCCACAUUGGAACUGAGACACGGUCCAA
RNAcentral lists this ribosomal RNA (258 nucleotides) under uncultured bacterium. Its description in RNAcentral is "partial 16S ribosomal RNA". It matches the Rfam family "Bacterial small subunit ribosomal RNA", at positions 75 to 334 of the family's 1533-position model. The record is from RNAcentral.